UACCUACAGGUUUGCAGGUUUAUACGUGA
RNAcentral lists this small RNA (29 nucleotides) under Bombyx mori (domestic silkworm). RNAcentral describes it as "ovarian small RNA-20823". The record is from RNAcentral. Lineage: Eukaryota; Metazoa; Arthropoda; Insecta; Lepidoptera; Bombycidae.